UACGUAGGGUGCAAGCGUUAUCCGGAAUUAUUGGGCGUAAAGAGCUCGUAGGCGGUCUGUCGCGUCGGCUGUGAAAACUCGGGGCUCAACCCCGAGCCUGCAGUCGAUACGGGCAGACUAGAGUGCUGUAGGGGAGACUGGAAUUCCUGGUGUAGCAGUGAAAUGCGUAGAUAUCAGGAGGAACACCGAUGGCGAAGGCAGGUCUCUGGGCUGACACUGACGCUCAUGCACGAAAGCGUGGGGAGCAAACAGG
Molecule: ribosomal RNA, 253 nt
Filed under: uncultured bacterium
Lineage: Bacteria
Description: partial 16S ribosomal RNA
Rfam family: Bacterial small subunit ribosomal RNA
Source: RNAcentral